UCUGAGCUUAAGGCAGCUGGUGCCACCUGGAUUCAGCUUGACGAGCCUGUCCUUGUUAUGGAUCUUGAGGGCCACAAGCUUCAGGCCUUUACCGGUGCCUACGCUGAGCUUGAAUCAACUCUUUCUGGUUUGAAUGUUCUUGUGGAGACCUACUUCGCUGAUAUCCCUGCUGAGGCAUACAAGACCCUAACAUCGUUGAAGGGUGUGACUGCCUUCGGGUUUGAUUUGGUUCGUGGCACCAAGACCCUUGAUUUGGUCAAGGCUGGUUUCCCAGAGGGAAAAUACCUCUUUGCUGGUGUUGUUGAUGGAAGGAACAUCUGGGCCAAUGACUUUGCUGCGUCUCUAAGCACCUUGCAGGCACUUGAGGGCAUUGUUGGUAAAGGUAAUAUGUUUGUCCAGAAUCAUUUGCGUUUUACCUGAAAAUAUUGGGAAUUACUGAAAACAUAUAAUUGAAAUGCUUAUCUGUUAUCUUUUUGUAUUUAUGCAGACAAGCUUGUGGUCUCAACCUCCUGCUCCCUUCUCCACACCGCUGUUGAUCUUAUCAACGAGACCAAGCUUGAUGAUGAAAUCAAGUCAUGGAUGGCGUUUGCUGCCCAGAAGGUCAUUGAAGUGAAUGCAUUGGCCAAGGCUUUGGCUGGUCAGAAGGAU
Molecule: long non-coding RNA, 648 nt
Filed under: Capsella grandiflora
Lineage: Eukaryota; Viridiplantae; Streptophyta; Magnoliopsida; Brassicales; Brassicaceae
Description: long non-coding RNA (CGRA_LNC001468)
Source: RNAcentral